Molecule: unclassified non-coding RNA, 695 nt
Filed under: Mesorhizobium plurifarium
Lineage: Bacteria; Pseudomonadati; Pseudomonadota; Alphaproteobacteria; Hyphomicrobiales; Phyllobacteriaceae
Description: partial miscellaneous RNA
Rfam family: Bacterial large subunit ribosomal RNA (bases 580-695)
Source: RNAcentral
AGUUGGUUAGAGCGCGCGCUUGAUAAGCGUGAGGUCGGAGGUUCAAGUCCUCCCAGGCCCACCACUAACAGCAACCCGAAGGGUUGUCACUUGCCGGUCGAUGCGAUCGGGCACUAUCAGGGGCCGUAGCUCAGCUGGGAGAGCGCCUGCUUUGCAAGCAGGAUGUCGUCGGUUCGAUCCCGUCCGGCUCCACCAACCAUCUUCUGUGAAGGUGGGACGUGUAGAGUAGAGAUGAUCGCCGGUGGUCAGUCAUUCGAAAAGAGUUUGCGUUAAGCCUCGUGCUUGGCGCCUGUUCUGUUUGACAUCGUAAAGAGAAGAUUUGUUCGAACUUCAUGAUCCGAAAGGGCCAUGAUUUGUCGCAAGGGACGCUCAAUCCCUUGCCUAUGAUGGGUCUGCCUAACCGCGCCCUCGAACGGAUCUCGAGAAGCUGGUCUUUUUGUGCCAAUUCCAUUGAAGCGGGUCCCGCACAGGAUCUGGUUCGAGCGACAAUCCUUCGGAUUGCGCUUAGCUAACCUCGUAAGGGAGAGGCUGAAGCGACGAUUUCUUCGAAAUCGCGCGAUGGGUAUUGGCAAUGAGAACGAUCAAGUGUCUUAAGGGCAAUUGGUGGAUGCCUUGGCAUGCACAGGCGAUGAAGGACGUGAUACGCUGCGAUAAGCUACGGGGAGGUGCGAAUACCCUUUGAUCCGUAGAUCUCC